Molecule: ribosomal RNA, 637 nt
Filed under: uncultured archaeon
Lineage: Archaea
Description: bacterial SSU rRNA
Rfam family: Archaeal small subunit ribosomal RNA
Source: RNAcentral
GCCGAUCAGGUUGUUGGUGAGGUAAUGGCCCACCAAACCUUUUACCGGUACGGGCUCUGAGAGGAGGAGCCCGGAGAUGGGCACUGAGACAAGGGCCCAGGCCCUAUGGGGCGCAGCAGGCGCGAAACCUCUGCAAUAGGCGAAAGCCUGACAGGGUUACUCUGAGUGAUUCCCGCUAAGGGAAUCUUUUGGCAUCUCUAAAGAUGGUGCAGAAUAAGGGGUGGGCAAGUCUGGUGUCAGCCGCCGCGGUAAUACCAGCACCCCGAGUGGUCGGGACGAUUAUUGGGCCUAAAGCAUCCGUAGCCGGUCUUGCAAGUCUUCCGUUAAAUCCAGCUGCUUAACAGAUGGGCUGCGGAGGAUACUACAAGGCUAGGAGGCGGGAGAGGCAAGCGGUACUCAGUGGGUAGGGGUAAAAUCCGUUGAUCCAUUGAAGACCACCAGUGGCGAAGGCGGCUUGCCAGAAUGCGCUCGACGGUGAGGGAUGAAAGCUGGGGGAGCAAACCGGAUUAGAUACCCGGGUAGUCCCAGCUGUAAACGAUGCAGACUCGGUGAUGGACUAGCUUCAUGCUAGUCCAGUGCCGCAGGGAAGCCGUUAAGUCUGCCGCCUGGGUAGUACGGUCGUAAGACUGAAACUUAA